Molecule: ribosomal RNA, 510 nt
Filed under: Triticum aestivum (bread wheat)
Lineage: Eukaryota; Viridiplantae; Streptophyta; Magnoliopsida; Poales; Poaceae
Description: partial small subunit ribosomal RNA
Source: RNAcentral
AUGCAUGAGUUAACUAAGGAAAACAUUGAGCGGAUGAAUGCUAAAUAUAAACUUGCUGGAGAUAAGGGUAGAAAACAUGUUGUGUUUGCACCUGGAGAUCUUGUUUGGUUACAUUUGCGUAAGGAUAGAUUUCCCGAUUUGCGCAAAUCAAAGCUAAUGCCACGUGCUGAUGGUCCCUUUAAGGUGUUAGAGAAAAUAAAUGAUAAUGCAUAUAAACUUGAGCUGCCUGCAGAUUUUGGGGUUAGUCCCACUUUUAACAUUGCAGAUUUGAAGCCUUAUUUGGGUGAGGAAGAUGAACUUCCGUCGAGGACGACUUCAUUUCAAGAAGGGGAGGAUGAUGAGGACAUCAAUACAAUUGUUACACCCACAGCCCCUGCUGCUAUACAUACUGGACCAAUUACUAGAGCUCGUGCACGCCAACUAUAUUACCAGGAAACAGACCUUCGUGGUCAGGUUGAUCGUGCUCCGGCGUGGUCAAUAACCUCUCGGAGUUGGUUUAGCGAUUGCUAA